ACGGGGUGCAGCAGGCGCGAAAACUUCACAAUGUGGGCAACCACGAUGAGGGAAUUCCAAGUGCUCAUGCUUUGCAUGUGCUGUUUCUUAGCCUAAGUAGCUGGGAGAGUAAGGGCUGGGUAAGACGGGUGCCAGCCGCCGCGGUAAUACCCGCAGCCCGAGUGGUGAUCGGUUUUAUUGGGCCUAAAGCGUCCGUAGCCGGUCUGGUAAAUUCCUGGGUAAAUCGGGUCGCUUAACGAUUCGAAUUCCGGGAACACUGCCAGACUUGGGACUGGGAGAGGCCAGAGGUACUCCAGGGGUAGGGGUGAAAUCCUGUAAUCCUUGGGGGACCACCAGUGGCGAAGGCGUCUGGCUAGAACGGGUCCGACGGUGAGGGACGAAGCCCUGGGGCACAAACCGGAUUAGAUACCCGGGUAGUCCAGGGUGUAAACGCUGCGAGCUUGGUGUUGGGGGUCCCAAGUGGGCGUCCAGUGCCGGAGAGAAGUUGUUAAGCUCGCCGCCUGGGAGUACGUCGCAAGAC
RNAcentral lists this ribosomal RNA (520 nucleotides) under uncultured archaeon. RNAcentral's name for it is "bacterial SSU rRNA". It matches the Rfam family "Archaeal small subunit ribosomal RNA", at positions 325 to 849 of the family's 1478-position model. The record is from RNAcentral.